Molecule: long non-coding RNA, 435 nt
Organism: Lolium rigidum
Lineage: Eukaryota; Viridiplantae; Streptophyta; Magnoliopsida; Poales; Poaceae
Exons: 3
Source: RefSeq, a predicted model, not a curated record
UUCUUCGCAUCCAGGCGCAUCUUCGACACCAACUGUCUCGUCCCGGUUCGCUCCCCGUCGCCGGAUCCAUGAACGACCAGAGCUCCUCUCCGCCAUGGUCUACAUCCUCGAGCUCCGCGUGAGUUUGCUUCAUCUUGCCGGGCGCUCAUCUUAGGACACCAUCGAACCAUCAGCCCAAUGACCUCGCGGCCAGAGAUACUUCAUUUUGCCUGGAGCCUUACCAAAACGUAGCAACAUCAAGCAGCCUAGCUGAUCUGCUAGAUCUUAUGCUGAAUGGGCCUCAGCCCAGAUCUUCUCUGCAGCCCGUUGCCCCGCGCGCCCAGGAACAAUCCGUCGCCGACGCAGGCCUAGUUCUGGCCCAUGUCACGACAGGUCCAUCCCAGACCAUCCCCUGCAUGUUUUCUUUUCCUUUUGCAAAACUUGUAAAAUUAAUAU